ACCACCCAUCGGUAGAAAGUACAUUUUACUGUCUUGAGCGGUAGUGAUAACCUCACCCAAUCCAAGUACAAUAUGCAGAACGGUGGAAAACUUCCCUACAAAGUCGCUGAUAUCAGCCUUGCUGACUGGGGUCGCAAAGAGAUCAAGCUUG
This 151-nucleotide non-coding RNA is filed under the name uncultured Symbiodinium. Lineage: Eukaryota; Dinophyceae; Suessiales; Symbiodiniaceae. The record is from RNAcentral.